UUAAUAACGUAUAUUUCGAAUAUUUAGCUGAGAAAAUAAUGACGAACGUUUACAGUAUUCUAGAAACUAACUUAGUUGAAGUAAAUAACACAAUUAGAAGCCAUCAAAUAAAAGAGAUGAGUGACAAUGUAAUUCAACAGAUAUACAGUCGAAUUAUGGACCGGGUUUCAUUUCGCAAAAAACAAAUCGAGAAGCAGACACAAUAUAUUUUGAAAGUUUUUUCUUCUAAUCGGUGGAUGUAAAAUAAAUUGCAGCUUUUUAUAUGUGGACAUAUCUCAUAUGAAUUUUUUUCAUAUAAUUUUUUUAUUUUGUACGUACUACUUCUUUUACUGCUUUAAAUAUUGUUUAUUUAGAUGUACUAUCUGAUGCUUUUAUAUUUAUAUUUAUAAAAUUAUAUGAAUGCAUGCAUCAAAAUUUUCAUUCUUUUGCAAUCUUGUUUGAACCAGUUAAACUAUAUAUUAUUACAAAAAUUAAUUAAUUUGUACAUUUAUUAUUAUUAAUUAUGUAGAAUUUGUGAUGGAUUAGCAUUUUCUUAGUUUACAAUAAAUAACAUGACAAUUCUC
Nylanderia fulva is the source of this 563-nucleotide non-coding RNA. NCBI's taxonomy places the organism in Eukaryota, Metazoa, Arthropoda, Insecta, Hymenoptera, Formicidae. The record is from RefSeq and is a predicted model, not a curated record.